UUUCUGUAAACAAACCGGAAUGGAAACUCGCCGUUCACGUUCCGGUUUUCGCGAUUUUUUAGGUUUUCGCGACGGUUUCUCGCGGUGAAAAUUCGUUGCGCGUGCGUGUUUAUCCCCAUAGAAGAGGGAAAAAGUGUUUUGUGCGAAGUAGAAACGCCCAAACAAGGCAAAAAUUUGUAAAAAGUACCCGCUGAAGAGGGGUGAAAUCUGAGUCAAUGGCACCGAACAAGGCGAAGUGAUAUGUUUUCGGUUAUUUGCUUCUGUUUCCAAGUGCCAGUGCGUGGGUGUUUUUCCAAAAGGCGCGGAAUUCUCUUCCGGCAAUAAUUAAACUUUACACCGUCACGACUGAUUUUGGAACAGAAAACAAAACUUCAGCGGAACGAUUUAUUACUCCGCCACUAGUGCAAAGCACGCAAAAUUUUAACGAAGGUAAUGAAGAACCUUCUAACAGCAGUGUAAGUCUCCCUUUUUACUAUUCACUAGAAGAAGGUAGAGCAACGCAUAAAUGGACCGACAGUCCAAAUGUAAUCCGGCGGUCGCCUUUUAAAUGUUCCCAAAUGAACAAUCCGUUUAAAGGCAGGCCGCCGGUACAAAAUUGUACCAGUUUAUGCUGGUUUGAGAAGAUUUGCUGGCCAGACACCAAGAUUUUUCGCGGUAGGAUCAACCAGCUCGUAGGACGAAGACCCCUUUUUGGCGAGAACUUUCGCCGAUCACCCUCCCCGGAAAUCUUGGAGUAGUCAUCCCCUGAUGCCAUUUCGCAACCAUGGACGACGAAAUGAGGACUAAACCCGGUAGAAGAAUGAACCGUAGUAUUUAGGAUGCGCUCCACAUCAUACAUGCGGGCAUCCCAGUUGCGCUGGUCCGUGCGGGCGUACGCGCGAAUUGCCGUAUUUAUAGAACGAUUCGUUCGUUCUACCGGGAAUCGGCUGAAUUCUCUGGAGAUGAACGUCGACCAUUAUCGCUCAACAGGAUUUCCGGACUUCCAUGGCGGUUGAACCAUUGUUCGCGAAGGGUCGCACAAAGUGAGGCGCUGCAAAUUUUACGAACGGGGGUCAACAUUACGUACUUGCUGAAGACGUCGAGGACGACUAGCAAGUGUUGAUUGCCCAGUUUGAUUCGAGGAAGUGGGCCUAUGUAGUCCACCGAAAUCAUCUGCCACGGUGCACCGGUUGUGCGUGACUGACCCAUUUCUGGUUGGACUGAGGUAAAUGGUGCUUUUAUCUGUUUGCAGGUCCCACAUUGGCGAACAUAUUCGCGAACUGCUGGCUCCCAUUCGAGGCCAGAAAUAGCGUUUUUGAACCUCGUGAAUCGUUUUAUCGUAUCCCACAUGAAGCAAUUCAUCGUGGGUACGUUGCACGAUUUCUUCUCGACACUCGGGAGUUGGGACCAAUUUCCAACUAAACCGAGAGUCGAAUGGUACACUUCUCGAGGCCACGUAUUUGAAAAGUUUACCAUCUUCGACUUUAAAAUCAGGAUAAUCAUCAGGAUUAGCUGAAACUUUAGACUUCAUCGAGCAAUACCAGUCUGAAGUGGACAAUGCCGAAAUGGCUGCUACAGCCCGGGAUAAGGCAUCCGGAACGACAUUGUCCUUACCUUCCCGGUGCUCAAUGGACAUGUCGUAGAGCUAUAGUUCCAAACUCCACCGACUCAGGCGCGAACUGGUUUUCCAUUUGGUCUUCAGUAUCCAGGUAAUGGCUGAUGAAUCAGUGACAAGUCGAAAAUGAUAACCUUCCAAGUAACCUCUAAAGUGUUCAACCGCCAUAAUCACCGCCAGACCUUCCUUUUCGGUAGCGUGGUAAUUCCGUUGGGGAGUCGUUAGCUUAUGUGAAAAAUAAGCUACCACUUUUUCCCCCUCUGGAUGUUCUUGCACCAAAACAGCCGCGACAGCAGUGUCGCUGGCAUCUGUCUGCAAAAAGAAUUCCUUUGAAAAAUCUGGCGGGACAAGCACUGGAGGAGUGACUAAAAGUUCCUUUACCUUUAGGAACGCGAGUUCUGCUUCGGAGUUCCAGCCAAUAUUCUUGGCCUUUGUUUUCAAGAGGUCGGUCAAAGGUGCGGUUACCUCACCAAAGCGAUCAAUGAAACGCCGGUAGUAACGGCACAUUCCAAGGAAUCGGCGCAGUUUAGUCACCGUCACCGGCCGCUCGUAAUCGAGUAUUGGCUGAAUUUUGUCAGGGUUGACCUUUAGACCUUCCUGAUUCAACAAAUAGCCAAGAAAUUCUAACUCUGGAACCCCAAAACGGGAUUUAGCCAGGUUUAUCGUCAGAUUGGCUUUGGCUAGACAUUUGGCUACCUCUUUGAGUAACUGUAGGUGAUGCUCGAACGUUUCGCUUACCACGAUGAUAUCAUCGAGGUAAACAAAGACGUACGGUUCCAGCUUUCCUCGUCCUAACACCUGGUCCAUAAGACGUGCCAACGUGGCAGGGCUGUUAACGAGACCGAAGGGUAGACGAGUAAAUUGGAACAUACCUCUGCCGGGCACACUGAAAGCAGUAAACUUACGACUGCUUUUAGCCAAAGGAACCUGGAGAAAAGCCUCCUUUAAGUCUAUUGUAGACAGGUACUUGGCUUUAGGCAGGCUUCCUAAAAUGCGCCCGGGAUGAGGCAGAGAGUAUGCAUCACGUACUGUACGCUCAUUAAGAGGCCGGGCAUCUAGACAAAGCCGAAUAGAGUCGUCUGGUUUGGUCAAAGCGACAGUAUUCAAAGACCAAUCGGAAUCUGACUCUUCAAUAAUACCCAUAGAACGCCAACGGUCGACUUCUUCCCAGACUUUAGACAGUUUUCUUGGGCUCAUUUUAUAAGGAUAUCGGCAAACAGGCGCGGCACUUUGGAAUUCUUCCUUAAUUACGAUCCUGUGCUCUGUUAGCGAGGUCGUAGUCAAUUUUCCGGGCACUACAGCCUGAAAACAGGUCUUAACCUGUUCGAUACAGGCCAUCUGUUCCGGAGUAAGUAUAGACUCACUCGGAGCAUCAAUCUCUACUUCUUCGUCCCGUUCCGAACCUGAGUUCAACAGAGCACAAGUUUGCAACUCGGGUGUUAUUCCAAAGGCGCGCCAAAAGUCCAUACCGAGUAUUGAAGAAACUGUUAAUUGCUCCACUACAAGGGUGCAAAUAACCUUUGUCUUGGUUUGGAAAGUAUACGGAAGAUAUAUUUGUCCAAGGAUCGGCAAGGUCUGUCCAUUUGCCGAACGAAGUUCAACUGGCCUUUCCAAACCUUUUAAUGGACUUUUGGAAAACUUUCGGUACAACUUUUUGGUGAUAAUGGUGGCAUUACUACCACUGUCGAGCAAAGCCUUGAAGGAAUGGCCAUAUACUGCGACCAAAGCGAAAGGACGAUUAUCGGACGGAUCAUCGAGGAUGAUGGUUUAAACAAACAACGGAUCACGAUAAUCCUCAUCAUGAGAUGGUCGAAAACUGUUGUAAAUUUGAGGGUCUAAUUUUAGGCUUUCUAUGGGGCGCACAUCCUUACACAACUGGGACUUUAGUUGGUACGAAUCCCGUUUUUUAAGCAGUAGGGACAGCGAGAGACAUCGAAACCCUUGAAUCCACACAAAAUACAGAAGAGUCGUCUUGGAUUUCUGCACGCCUCAUGCUCGUGUCCAGUACCACCGCAGUUGUAACAGACUCCGAGACUAGGAGGUCGAUGCUGUUCCACCAGAUAGUCGAGACAAAUCACCGGCUUUUGUUAGGAUUCCGGUAUCGAAUUUCUCUCGACAAGAUUCUUUUCCGUCUGAACACCUGGCUUUUUCUUCGUGUUUUCAGACGGCGUUUUGGGAGCAAAAUUAUCCUGUUGGGAAUUUUUGCUCCAAAAUGUUUUGGUUUCAACGUGGCUGUUAUUCGAACCACCUCCCUUUCUGUUUGGUUGGUCCUUUUUCGAGGUGUUAAUUGGUGAAUUUACCGAAUAAGCAGCGACUUCCUUUUGAGAACCGAACACUUUUCGGUAAAUCGGUGUUUUGUACGCAUCAAUCGAUUUACCUAAAGUCAUCAAUUCUGCAAGCGUACUCACUGGCUUUGAACUUAAAACUUGCUUAUAGUCUGGCCUGAGGUUCCGUUUGAGCACGUCGAGUUUUUCGCUCGGUGUCAUGGGAACCGUCAUAGCACGAAAUAUUUUUUCCAUUUCCUGGAAAUAGUCCAGGAAACACUCGUUUUGCAUCUGCAGGCGCUGGGAAACCUUUGAUUUGAGAGCGGCGUCAAGUUCCGGAUGAACGAAAUUUGCCUUAAGCUCACAAACCAAAUGGUUCCAGUUGUAAAGCCUGUUCUGCGAUCUCAUAGCCCGAUACCAAGUAAGAGCAUUGUCAGUGAGUAGGAGCAUUGCAGAAUUGAACAGCUCCUCCUCUGAAAUUUGCUCGCACUGAGCAUAAUUUUCAACGGAGUCCAGAAAUUCAUUCAGUCCUAGCCCAUCAUCUGUCCCAGCGUAUUUCUCAGCAGGAUGGUAUUUCAUUACCCGUAUGAUUGGGCAAAGAAACACGUCCACCUGUCGGGCUUGACCUUCCAUUCACAUGGUGUUUUGGGGCCUGGGACUGAAUGACUGGUAAAGCUGGUUCCGUGUUCUUAAUCGGAAGUGACGGACAUCGCUCUUUCAGGAAGUCCAGGAGUAACUUUUCCACCACGGUUUGGUUUAAUGUGGGCGCCAGUGGUGGAUCAGGUACUUCCGGUUCUUCUGGCUCGUCGAUUUCGUCCGUCUCACGUCUUUCGUCCAGAUCGGUCUGCAGAUCAAUCUCGAGAACGCCAGCUGGUUGAGAAUGUACCAGCGCCCGAAGUUUACUAACGGAUUCACGAAGUGAGACAACUUCUUGAACCGUCUUUUGCAAAACUGAAGCAAUAGUGUUCAGUGAAGCAAUCCCGCCCAUUAGCGUCUGAGUAGCUUCCAAAAGGCUAUCAGACCUCUCAGCCGCUAGAGCUUUAUCUCGUUGGGAUUGCUGACGUAAAAGUCGAAUCUCGUCCCUUAACUCGCUCAAGACCGACCCAACAUCUUCUCCUACGAGCGGACCAGAUCCUACACUUUGCGGGAAAAUAGGUGCCGUUUGUGUUGGUUGCACGUUCGUGUCCAGCAAAUCACCCAAACCGGCUCCACCUUCCCCAGUAUUUUUAAUUGGAGGAAGCACUGCUGGCAUAUCAAAAUAUUCUUGAUAUGUAGCAGCAACUCCCGCCAACAGAUCCAAAAUUUCUUGAUUGACCUCCCCUGCUGUGUUUUUGUGAAUUAUCUGGAGUCUAGACCCCAGGUGGAGUAACCUUGUUCGGUAGGCCUCCUUGUUUGGGCAUCUAUAACGGAGAUCUUCCUUAAUGGAACUCAACUUCCCAAGGCAGAUCUCCAUUUCUUCAGCAGCAUCCCCAUGAAACACACGCAGCGUUCCACCGGAGAAGACCGUUCUUCGGCCAACAAUCCCCGUAAACGACGCUGCCGCUGAACCCCAGAUGGAUCCGAAUCAGCCGAGAUGACAACAUUCCGCGAGCUUAACUCAAAAUCUAGCUCGUCGAAAUGCAAAUGGUCGACCCGCAUCAACCAAUAAGCUCUGUUGAGCUCUUCCACAAUCAUCGCCAUUCUCUCGAUUUUUCCGGAAAAGAACUCGAAAGCACAAAGCAUUCAGUAUCGACACGGAAUUUGAGCGGAAUUGAAAAAAUGUUUCGAAUCGGAUCGGAAUAUUUUAUGGUUGGCAACCACCUUGACUGGAAAAGACUCAAGCUUUCAACAACUCGUCUGGCAGUUCCACCAAAACCAAUGCAAAAUCACUGAUUCAGAAAACAGAAAUAAAUAAAUAUAUACAAUAAAUAUUUAAUAAAUAAUAUAAAUACCACUGAAAAAUAAAUAAACAAUA
Molecule: long non-coding RNA, 5812 nt
Organism: Wyeomyia smithii (pitcher-plant mosquito)
Lineage: Eukaryota; Metazoa; Arthropoda; Insecta; Diptera; Culicidae
Exons: 4
Source: RefSeq, a predicted model, not a curated record